AAUUUGUCAAUUUAAUUAGCUUAAAGAGUGCAUUUUAUGUGAAUUUUAUAAUACUUGUUGUUUCUGUUGUUGCCUUAAUUUGAUGUAUUGUUAUUUUAUAUCGGAUUACAGGUGUAUUUCUCGUUCCUCAUUGUUGGCCAUACUCAUGAGGACAUAGACGCUGCGUUCAGCAAAAUUUCAAGAUCACUGAAAAAGAAAUCAGCAGAAACAUUACCAGAUUUACUUCAGUGUAUACCAAAUGUAGAGAGAGUUGGUGAAGCUGAUGAUGUUAAAAGUUGGCUUGGAGAAAACAUUUGUGAUGUAAAAGGAACCAGUGAACCUUUGCAUUACAAAUUUGUUGCCAGUGGUAAUAAUGUCAAAGUUUUUUAUAAAGGUCUCCAACACACAUUCUGGAAAGAAUUAAAUGGAAGAGGAACAUUUUUACGAAAAGUGCCUAGUGGAAAUCCCAAACCUCUGAAGCCAGGCUAUUCAAAGUUUGACCUCAAUAUAGAAAAAUUAAAAAAACUAGUGUCUUCAGUAGAGGGACUUUUUCUCAGACAAAGACAAGUUUAAUUGGUGGACUUUAUCCCAAAUGUGAAAACAUAUGCUUUACAAAAUACACCCAAACGAGAAUGGAUAAAUGUCCUUCCAAAGCAGCCUCUUUUUCCCAAAUCCAGGAGUUCUCUGUCUCUGCUUGAUCCAGAUUUGAAAAAAGGUACUGGAAAAAGAAUCUGCAGAACCUAAGCUAACUUGUGAAAAGGCAACAUUGAAAGUUUUGAAGUCUAAAAAAAGAAAACUGCAGAAGACGGUGAAAGUCCGGAAAGGCAGUGUUAAGUCAGCAGGAGCACAGGUUAAAAGAAAACAACAUAAUCAGAAACAGAAACAAGGGAAGUCGAAGAACAAAAAUCAUGGAAAAUUUCAGAAGUCUAACAAAAGAUCAGAAGUGAAACAGAGACAACAGAAUAGAAUGAUGAUCAUUCCUAUUGUAGAUGAUAUCAAGAAGCAUAUCUGGUUGAUAAUCUUCUUUUAUCUUGUAGACUUGUUUAUUUCUUUCACUGCUUUGUUUCUGUUUUUAUUUCACUUGCUUUAUUUUAUUACAACUGUUGAUGCAAUUGUACAACAAGUAAAUGUUCUAUGGGAAGUUCUGCUGAGGCAACACAUAGGGUGUCAGUUUGUACAUAGAAAUUCUGCACGAUUUGUGAUAGCAUAAUUUGCCUACCAUUUCGAAGUAGAGUGAACAGUUUUUGCUCAAUAAUUUGAGAACUACUUGACACUGAACAUUCAUUUUCGGUAUAAUGAUUGGGCAUAUAAAGUAGAUGUGUUUUAUUAACACCUCAUGAUUUAUAGAAUUUUAAAAUAUUUUUGCUGAUACAGCAUGUUACAAUUCUAUACCUAUUUUUCUCUUCUAUUCACAUUUGUACCAUUGAGACACUGGAUUCCAUACUGGAGGAUACAAAAAUCUCUUUGUUGAUUAAAUGAUAAAACUGUUGACUUUUGAUAAAGGAUCACAUAAAUAUCAACAUCAGCAGAUGAUUGACCCAAUAUUUCUGUAAUCUUUCAAAAACACUGUCUUCAUCAGAUUGUCUUUUUUUAAAUGAGGAAAAAAGGUAUAGAGUGAAUAGUAAGUUCACAUUAUCCUGUACAUAAUUGGAUAUAUUUGGACUGUACCAAUCUUAGAAACAUAAUUAUUAGACUUACCUAGCACUUCAUUAAAUGGGUUAUUAUUGAAAUAUAUAUUUCCGCAUUGUACAGAACAAUAUUGAAUAACUUACUAUUGUAUGUUUAUAAUAAGAUGUAUGUUAAAUUGUUAAUUUUAAGAUAACUGAUUAAAUACCAGGACUACGGACCAGUACGCAUUUUAGACAUAAGACCUAUGUUUUAUUACCUGAUUUACAUUAAAAUCUCUUAAUGGUAGUACUCUGGUUUCAGUUGAAUUUUCCUGUCAAUAUUUUAGGUCUAUUUAGAUAGGAUAUUCAAUAUGAAAGUACCUGAAAUGAUUGUAUAGUGUUUUGAAUUGAUAUAAAAGUGGCCAAUCUUAGCAACCUUUUUGCUUAUUUUGUAGUUUAAAUGACUAUCUUGAAGGUCAGAUGGUUAAGGUCCUCUUCAGGUGACUUAGUCCCAUUUGGGCUUCUUUUUUUUUGUAAUUAUUAUACUUCAGUAGCUUUCAUUUUUUAAGGGGUUGUACUGUAUUAUUGGGUGUUUUGGUUACUCUUUGAUACGCAUGAUAGGUAGCAUGAGUUUCUCUAUUAGUACGGCCUGAGAAAGUGACUUUUACAAAAUGUGGUCACAUUAUUCCUUAUACUCAUUCAUCAUGGUUGGUAUCAUGAGUUUCUCUUAUAUUUCGUUUCGAUAAGAGCUAAGUAAAAUGACUUACAAAAAUGUUGCUACAUUAUUUGUUUGUUUAAUCAUCUUGAGAGUUUUAUCUUAUUUGUAUUUAUUUAUGUAAUUGUUGUAUAAGUAAAUGUUGUUCCAUAUUUAGAUAAGUACAUUUUGCUGGGAAAAAUUAUAGUAUUUGGUUAUAACAUGGAAAAUUUAAUAUUUAUGCUCGGGAAGUAAUAAAUUAUUUGAAUGUUUCUUCUCUCAAUGUUUCAGAAUAGUUUUUAACUCACCUGAGCCAAAGCUCAAGUUGAGCUUUUGUGACCACUUGAUGUCCAUCUUACGUUUCAAACAGUUUGUCAACAAUUACUUGUCUGCACGAUUGUGGUUUCAUUUAUGAUUUGAUUUUAACCAAACUUGCACAUAACUUGUAUUACUAUAGGAUCUUGGUUUCUUUCUAGAAGCCAAUCUGGGUUCCAGAGACAUGGCCUCUGAAAGGGCAAAAGUUGUCUUGUCUGCAGGAUAGUGGUUUCAUUUAUGACUUGAUUUAACCAAACCUGCACACAACUUGUAUUACCAUAAGAUUUCGGUUCCUUUUUUGAAUCAAUACCAUCCUAUCAUAGGUUCCAAAGUUGCGGCCCCUGGAAGGGAAAAACUUUUUUGGUCUUGUCUGAAUGCUAGGGGUUACACUUAUGAUUUGAUUUUAACCAAACUUGCAGACGCUUGUAGCACAAUAAGACCACAGUUCCUUUCAUGAAUCAGCCAUAUUCUACCAUGGAUUCCAGAGUUAUGGUCCCUGAAAAGACUAACAUUUGCAAUCUUGGUCUUGUCUGCACAAUAGUGAUUUCAAUAUUGUUUUUGCCCUGUCCUUCCAUACGUUCAUAGGGUGGCGGGGCUUAUGGAGUAGACGACCCCUAUUGCUUUUGGGGUCACUCUGUCAAAGGUCAAGCUCACAGGGGCCUGAACAGGGAAAACCAUUUCUGAUCAAUAACGUGAGAACCGCCUGCCCAUAUUGUUGAAACUUCAUAGGAUGAUUGGUCUUGCAGAGUAGACGACCCCUUUUGAUUUUGGGGUCACUUUAUUAAAGGUCAAGGUCACAGGGGCCUGAAUAAGGAACAUCAUUUCCAGUCUGUAACUUGAGAAGCACUUGACCCAGUAUGUUGAAACUUCAUAGGAUGACUUGUCAUGCAUAACCCCUAUUAAUUUUUGGGUCACUAUUAAAGGUCAAGGUCACAGGGACCUGAACAUGGACAACCAUUUUCGGUCUGUAACUUGUGAACCACUUGACCCAGUAUGUUGAAACUUCAUAGGAUGAUUGGUCAUGCAGAGCAGAUGACACUUAUUGAUUUUGGGGUCACUCUGUUAAUGGUCAAUGUCACAGGGGCCUGAUCAUGGAAAGUCUUUUCCAAUCAAUAACUCGAGAACCACUUAACCCAAAAUGUUGAAAGUUCAUAGAAUGAUUGGACAUACAGAGGGGAUAACCCCUAUCGAAUUUAAGGGUCACUUUUUAAAGGUCAAGGUCUCAGGAGCAUGAACAUUGAAAACCAUUUCAGGUCGGUAACUUGAGAACCACCUGACCCAGAAUGUUGAAACUUCAUAGAAUGAUUGGUCAUGCAGAGUAGAUGACCCCUGUUGAUUUUGGGGAUCACUUGAUCAAAGGUCAAGGUCACAGGGGCCUGAACAUGGAAAACCAUUUCCAGUCAGUAAUUUGAGAAUGACUUUACCCAGAAUGUUGAAACUUCAUAGGGUGAUUGGACAUGCAGAGGGGAUGACCCCUACCGAUUUUGGAGUCACUCUGUUAAAGGUCAAGGUCACAGGGGCCUGAACUUGGAGAACCAUUUCCAGUCAGUAACUUGAGAUCUACUCGACUCGGAAUGUUAAAACUUCAUAGGAUGAUUGGACAUGCAGAGUACAAUUAAUAAUCCCUAUUGAUUUUGGGGGACACUCUAGAUCUGUUAAAGGUCAGGGUUGCAGCAUAUAGGAAAUGGAAAGCCAUUUCCAGUUUGUCACUUUAGAACCAUUUGACCUAGAACCUUCAAACUCCAUAUAGAAUUACAGAGAAGGUGACCCCUAUUGCUAUUUUUUUAACCAAUCUUGCUCACAAGUUGUAUCACCAUAAAAUCUCGGUUCCUUUUUUUUUUUUUGAACCAGCCAUAUCCCAUUAUGGGUUCCAUAGAUAAAAUUGGCAAUUCUGGUCUUGUCUGCAGGAUAGUGGUUUCAUUUGUGAUUUGAUUUAAACUAAACUUGCACACUAUUUGUAUUACUGUAAGGUUUUCGGUCCUUUCUUGAAUCUGCAAUAUCUUACCAUGGGUUCCAGAGUUACAGCCCCUGAAUGUGCAAAAUUGGUUAUUUUGGUCUUGUCUGCACGACAGUGGUUUUAUUUAUGAUUUGAUUUUAACCAAACAUGCACACAAGUUGUAUCACCAUAAGAUCAAGUCUCCUUUCUUGAACCAGCCAUAUUCCAGAGUUACUGCCCCUGUGUGUCCACAAACUUUGUCCGUACCAUUUCUUCUUCAUGCAUCGAGGGAUUUUGAUGUAUAUUCAUGAGACAGAGUGUCAUGGGCAAGAACUAGAUCUAAGGUCAAGGUCCCCAUGACCACUUUUCUGUGGUAUAACAUGCAUGUUACAUCCGAUUUUUAGGUGUAUUUUGACCUAUCUCUUCCUAAUAACGAGUUUUAUGUGGACUUUAAUUAUAUAGAAUUAAGGUUUAACUUCCCUAUAUUGUUACUAUUGAUAACUAAUAUUAUACCUGUUUCAUAAUUGGCCAAAAUAUUUUACAUGCAAAUACAGGUGCUAGUGUAAAGAAAUUUGCUGUGACGGUCGUAUAUUGUGAGGUGCACAAGAUUUUGAUAAUAUGUAUGUUGUGGAAAUUUCCAUACUUGUAAAAGUGAUAGAAUUUUAUUGUGUAGUUUCUUCUUAACCAUGGUUGUUUCAAACUGUACGGAAUAAUUUGGGUUGGUUCCACACCAACAGUGUGACAAAUAUUUUUAGAGAGAAAAUGUUGAAAUUUCCAUGCUUUGAUAUUUACCCUAUCUUAUUACGUAUUUUACGAGGUGUAGAAAUGUCCACGUUUAUGACAGAAAUAUGUAGACAAUAUAUGUAUUGUGGAAAUUUCCACACUUGUACAAGUGAAAAUAUUUCUUAUUGUAAUUUGGGUUCGUGUGGAAAUUUCCACACCAAGAUUGUUACAAAUGUUUGUAAAGGGUAACUUUUGAAACUACCAUGUUUUGAAAUUUUACUCUAUUUUAUUAUGUAUUUUACGAGGUGUGGAAAUUUCCACAAUGCUCUUCAUUGCUUAUUAUAUUCCGCCAAAUAUGACCUUGAAAACGUGGAAAUUUCCACGUUUAUGACAGAAACAUUUAGACAAUAUAUGUAUUGUGGAAAUUUCCACACUUGUACAAGUGAUAACAUUUCUUAGUAUAAAUUGAUUUGAACAUUGUUAUGUUUAAUAUUUUACGGAAUAAUGGGUUGACGUGGAAAUUUCCACACCAAGAUUGCUACAGAUGUUUAUAAAGGGUAAUUUUUGAAACUACCAUGUUUUGAUAUUUUGAAAUUUUACCCUAUUUUAUUGCGCAUUUACGAGGUGUGGAAAUUUCCACAGUGUUCUUUACUGCUUGUAAUAUUUCGUCAAAUAUUACUGUUUGAAAACAUUUAGACAAUAUUGUGGAAAUUUCCACACUGAAUCGAGUGAUCAGGUUUCUUAGUAGAUCUACAGAUUGAUUUUCAACAUUUUUAUGUUUCAUAUUUUAAAGAAUAAUGGGUUGACGUGGAAAUUUCCACACCAAGAUUAAGCCAAGUAAUGUUGAAAUUACCAUGUGUUGAUAUUUUGAAAUUUUACCCCGUUAUAUUAUGCAUUCGACGAGGUGUGGAACUUUCCACAAUGUUUGUUAUUACUUCUUUUAUUCCCUCAAUAAAUAUGUAUCUAU
Molecule: long non-coding RNA, 6221 nt
Organism: Mercenaria mercenaria
Lineage: Eukaryota; Metazoa; Mollusca; Bivalvia; Venerida; Veneridae
Exons: 4
Source: RefSeq, a predicted model, not a curated record